RNAcentral lists this ribosomal RNA (522 nucleotides) under uncultured bacterium. Its description in RNAcentral is "partial 16S ribosomal RNA". It matches the Rfam family "Bacterial small subunit ribosomal RNA", at positions 355 to 871 of the family's 1533-position model. The record is from RNAcentral.
UGGGGAAUUUUGGACAAUGGGCGAAAGCCUGAUCCAGCAAUGCCGCGUGUGUGAAGAAGGCCUUCGGGUUGUAAAGCACUUUUGUCCGGAAAGAAAUCCUUGGCUCUAAUACAGUCGGGGGAUGACGGUACCGGAAGAAUAAGCACCGGCUAACUACGUGCCAGCAGCCGCGGUAAUACGUAGGGUGCAAGCGUUAAUCGGAAUUACUGGGCGUAAAGCGUGCGCAGGCGGUUUGCUAAGACCGAUGUGAAAUCCCCGGGCUCAACCUGGGAACUGCAUUGGUGACUGGCAGGCUAGAGUAUGGCAGAGGGGGGUAGAAUUCCACGUGUAGCAGUGAAAUGCGUAGAGAUGUGGAGGAAUACCGAUGGCGAAGGCAGCCCCCUGGGCCAAUACUGACGCUCAUGCACGAAAGCGUGGGGAGCAAACAGGAUUAGAUACCCUGGUAGUCCACGCCCUAAACGAUGUCAACUAGUUGUUGGGGAUUCAUUUCCUAGUAACGUAGCUAACGCGUGAAGUUGACCG